AGCUUUGCGCAGUGGCAGUAUCAUAGCUAAUGGGGUUUAUCCAAGGCGUGAUCAUUGCUAAUUGAAAAAUGACGUUAGCUUUGUAUGAAAAAUUGUAAUUUUAGAAAGGAAACUAGAUUC
This 120-nucleotide small nuclear RNA is filed under the name Rhinolophus ferrumequinum (greater horseshoe bat). RNAcentral's name for it is "U4 spliceosomal RNA (ENSRFEG00010010674.1)". It matches the Rfam family "U4 spliceosomal RNA". Rfam says of the family: U4 small nuclear RNA (U4 snRNA) is a component of the major U2-dependent spliceosome. The structure of U4 snRNA from yeast and human has been reported. U4 snRNA presents a k-turn RNA motif in the 5p-SL related to recognition of Snu13 protein. The record is from Rfam by way of RNAcentral. Lineage: Eukaryota; Metazoa; Chordata; Mammalia; Chiroptera; Rhinolophidae.